AACUUUUGUGAUCAAGCUACUAAGGGCUUGUGGUGGAUGCCUUGGUGCCAGGAGGCGAUGAAGGACGUAGCAAGCUGCGAUAAGCCGCGGGAAGCCGCAAACAGGCGUUAAUCCGCGGAUCUCCGAAUGGGACAACCCAGCCGGUUUAACCGCCGGCUAUCGCCGGAUGAAUUCAUAGUCCGGCGAGGCGAAACGGGGCGAAGUGAAACAUCUCAGUAACCCCAGGAAAAGAAAACGACCGUGAUUCCGUGAGUAGUGGCGAGCGAAAGCGGAGGAGCCUAAACCGGGGGGAUUUAUCCUCCCGGGGUUGAGGGACCUCGACAUGGAAGGCGAAAGACGAGCUUAACCAUCUGGAAAGUUGGGCCAUAGACCGUGACAGCCGGGUGAGCGAAGUUCGAGUAGCCUACUAGGGGUAUCCCAAGUAACGCGGUGCACGUGAAACUCUGCGUGAAUCUGUCCGGACCACCGGAUAAGGCUAAAUACUACCUGGCAACCGAUAGUGAACAAGUACCGCGAGGGAAUGGUGAAAAGAACCCCUGCUAGGGGAGUGAAAUAGUACCUGAAACCACAUGCCUACAAUGUGUCGGAGCUGCGCGCAAGCGCAGUGACGGCUUGCCUUUUGCAUAAUGAGUCUGCGAGUUAUUGUCAGUGGCCAGCUUAAGCCCUUUUGGGGCGGAGGCGAAGGGAAACCGAGUGCCAACAGCGCGUUUAGUCGCUGGCAAUAGACCCGAAGCGGAGGUGAUCUACUCUUGAGCAGGUUGAAGCCUGGGUAACACCAGGUGGAGGACCGAACUCGUGGAUGUUGAAAAAUCCUGAGAUGACUUGAGAGUAGGAGCGAUAGACUAAUCAAACCCCGUGAUAGCUGGUUCUCUCCGAAAUCGCUUGAGGGCGAGCGUCGUGCAAGUAAACGGCGGAGGUAGAGCACUGAAUGGCUUAGGGACCCCACCAGGUUACCAAAACCAAUCAAACUCCGAAUUCCGCCGGUCCCAUUACCACGGCAGUCAGGCUGCGAGUGAUAAGAUCCGUAGCCGAGAGGAAAACAGCCCAGACCGGCAGCUAAGGUGCCUAAACACAGUUAAGUGGAAAGGAUGUGACGUUGCUAAGACAGUGAGGAUGUUGGCUUAGAGGCAGCCAUCAUUUAAACAGUGCGUAACAGCUGACUCAUCGAGCGAUGUCGCGCCGAAAAUGAUUGGCGAUUAAACUGUGUACCGAAGCUCCGGAAGCGUGAGGGAUUCGUCUUUCAUGCUUGGUAGGAGAGCGUAGUCAGCGCGGUGAAGCCGGACGGAUAACGGACGGUGGAGGGCUGACUAGUGAGAAUGCAGACACGAGUAGCGAUAAACCAGGUGAGAAUCCUGGUCGCCGUAAACCCAAGGUUUCCUGGGCCAGGUUCGUCCCCCCAGGGUUAGCCGGGAGCUAACGCGAGGCCGUAAGGCGUAGCGGAUGCACAGCAGGUUAAAUAUUCCUGCGCCGGGUAAGAAUCAGCCAUGUGAUGACGCGUUGGAAAACAUCGGUUAGGCAAUCGAAUGCUGAGCUUAGGCUUCGGCCGAAGCGCACCGGUGGAGAAGGCGCCGAGAAAAGUCGCAUGGUGUUGUGUCUUACUCGCCCGUACCGUAAACCGACACAGGUGGGUGAGUGUAAGCGCACUCAGGCGCGCGAGAGAAACCUCUCUAAGGAACUCGGCACAUUAGCCCCGUAACUUCGGGAGAAGGGG
Molecule: ribosomal RNA, 1711 nt
Filed under: Limisphaerales bacterium
Lineage: Bacteria; Pseudomonadati; Verrucomicrobiota; Verrucomicrobiia; Limisphaerales
Description: Verrucomicrobia subdivision 3 bacterium (sediment metagenome) partial 23S ribosomal RNA
Rfam family: Bacterial large subunit ribosomal RNA
Source: RNAcentral